Molecule: long non-coding RNA, 237 nt
Organism: Helianthus annuus (common sunflower)
Lineage: Eukaryota; Viridiplantae; Streptophyta; Magnoliopsida; Asterales; Asteraceae
Exons: 3
Source: RefSeq, a predicted model, not a curated record
GGCAAGACAACAAAUACAAGAGGCAUUCACAUUCUCAGAUAAAUUGCACAAGGUGAUGACAACGGUGUUGAAGAUGCCAUCACACUGCCGAGGAUGCAUCAAGAAGAUUCAAGAUCUGGACAGGAAGACCAAGGGGUUUGUGGAGAUAUCGAUUGAUAAGAGCAAUGAUUUGGUGAGGGUGAAAGGAGCAAUGGACAUGAAGUUAUUGACGACAACUUUAAGGACAAAAUGAAUAGA